GUAUGGUGCUGGGUGCAGAUGCAGUGUGGCUCUGGAUAGCACCUUAUGGACAGUUGUGUCCCCAAGGAAGGAUGAGAAUAGCUACUGAAGUCCUAAACAGCAAGCCUAACUCAAGCCAUUGGCACACAGGCAUUAGACAGAAAGCUGGAAGUUGAAAUGGUGGAGUCCAACUUGCCUGGACCAGCUUAAUGGUUCUGCUCCUGGUAACGUUUUUAUCCAUGGAUGACUUGCUUGGGUAAGGACAUGAAGACAGUUCCUGUCAUACCUUUUAAAGGUACAUGUUUUAUUGAUGUUAACGUUAAUUGAUUGAGCUACUGUUAGUGAUGAUUUUAAAAUUAAAGCAGAUGGGAAUCUCUCUGAGAAAGAAAAUGGAGAUUAAUCUUAAACUGAAACAGUAGUUGGGAAAUCUUUUAGAAAUCCACCUAUUACUACCUAUUGGUAAAGGAGAUAAAAUUUCUACAGGUAUGGAGAGUCGGCUUGACUACACUGUGUGGAGCAACUUUUAAAGAAGCAAAGGUAUAGCAGUCCCAAGUAUUUCUUUUUUUUUUUUUUAGACAAGAGUCUAGCUCUUGCCCAGAAUGGAGUGCAGCGGCACUAUCAGUUCACUGCAACCUCUGCCUACCAGGUUCAAGGAAUUCUCCUGCCUCAGCCUCUUGAGUAGCUGGGAUUACAGGCAUGUGACACCAUGCCUGGCUAAUUUUUGUACAGCUAUGUUGUCCAGGCUGGUCUCGAACUCUUGACCUCAAGUGAUACUGCCCGCACUGACCUCCCAAAGUGCUGGGAUUACAGGCGUGAGCCACCGUGCCCCGCCUCAAGUCUGGUUUUUAAGUGUUGUAGAGCCGAUACAAUGAUGAUAACAUAGUUCAGCAGACUAACGCUGAUGAGCAAUAUUAAGUCUUUCGCUCCUAUCUGAUGUAUCUGGCGGUAACAUUCUAGUUUAUGCCCUGAAAAGGGGAAUAUAGCCAUUCUAUAAUGUUUGGAGAUUUUGGAUUACUCCUAAUUGUAUGCAAGUUGUCUUACUGUGUAUUGUCCCUUAAUUUCAGGACUCAGAAUUCAUGAUUGAAGAAAUGCAGGUUAGUUUAAACUUUUAAGGAAAUUUUUAAGGUGGCAAAAGGUU
This 1117-nucleotide small RNA is filed under the name Pan troglodytes (chimpanzee). Its description in RNAcentral is "retained intron". The stretch from base 313 to 397 matches the Rfam family "Small nucleolar RNA SNORD79". Lineage: Eukaryota; Metazoa; Chordata; Mammalia; Primates; Hominidae. The record is from RNAcentral.